RNAcentral lists this ribosomal RNA (368 nucleotides) under uncultured organism. Its description in RNAcentral is "bacterial SSU rRNA". It matches the Rfam family "Bacterial small subunit ribosomal RNA", at positions 527 to 896 of the family's 1533-position model. The record is from RNAcentral.
GUAAGGGGCAAGCGUUGUCCGGAAUCACUGGGCGUAAAGCGCACGUAGGCGGUUUAGCAAGUUAGGGGUGCAAGCUCCAGGCUUAACCUGGAAACUGCCUCUAAAACUACUUCACUUGAGUAUUAGAGGGGAAGCUGGAAUUCACGGUGUAGCGGUGAAAUGCGUAGAUAUCGUGGAGAACACCCGUGGCGAAGGCGGGCUUCUGGCUAAUAACUGACGCUGAGGUGCGAAAGCUAGGGGAGCGAACGGGAUUAGAUACCCCGGUAGUCCUAGCCGUAAACGAUGAGUACUAGGUGUGGGGGGGUAAAUCCUCCGUGCCGACGCCAACGCAUUAAGUACUCCGCCUGGGGACUACGGCCGCAAGGUUA